UGCUAUGGAGGUUUCAAAAGCUAGCUUUAACUUCCCUAUUCCAAACUGUCUCCACUCUGUUAAAUUUCCUCAUCUAAAGGUUUUUUUUCUUCUUUUUUUUACAUUGAAUAUCUUAAGCCAGCUUUCACGCACCUCUGCAGUUCAGAAAGCUGGUUCAAAAUUAGCCUUCGCAAGAGAUGUUUUACACCCUGCCUAAAAAGUAUUUUGUUAGCCAACUUAAAACCUGGGAGCAGCAAACCAUCAAGCUUUAACUGAUGUAUGCUAGACCAAGCUCUAAGGUACAAGCAACCAGGUUUUUUUUCCAUCUGUACGUUUUUUCUUGAAUGUUUUGCUAAGGUUUGUCUAUAGAAUGAGCACAAAGGAGGAGAGAAAAGAGAUCUGGAGCUGCUUGGUUGAUUGAUUGAAGUGGUACUUUAUGGUGGUCGGUUUGUCCAAUGGGGAAUCGUUUGCCAUUUCCGUGUUGCUUUCUCUGGUUGCUCUUGAAAGAUAGUUCAC
RNAcentral lists this long non-coding RNA (495 nucleotides) under Populus tremula. RNAcentral's name for it is "long non-coding RNA (PTRE_LNC002516)". The record is from RNAcentral. Lineage: Eukaryota; Viridiplantae; Streptophyta; Magnoliopsida; Malpighiales; Salicaceae.